This is a long non-coding RNA of Anoplopoma fimbria (sablefish), 207 nucleotides long. RefSeq lists it as uncharacterized. Lineage: Eukaryota; Metazoa; Chordata; Actinopteri; Perciformes; Anoplopomatidae. The transcript is spliced from 2 exons. The record is from RefSeq and is a predicted model, not a curated record.
AAAGCCACUCUACUGGGAACCACUAAGGCCAGACUCUUCACCAGGGGAAAGCCCUCGGUGGAGUACGACCCAGGAAGUGACCUCAGCUACCUGCUGACCAAUCAGAGCGACUCAGGAGAUGAAGGUCUCAGGCUUUAAGGAUGUUCUGGAUGACAGAACUCAGAAUGUUGUUCUGUUCAAAACUGAUUAAAUAUUUUAAAUAAGAAA